UUCGUAUCAAGCUUUAGGGUUGUUUGUUUUUGAGUCUUCAGGAAGGCAGGAGUAAUUUCUCUGCUCCACUGUUGAGAGUCUGAGAUCCUGUUACUACUCCCGGAGAGGUCCCUUUCCCUUUUCCGCGUCUUGUGCUUUACGCCCGUUUUACUCAGGCUGUUCAGACUCGCCCUCCCUCCGCCCAGGUGUGUCGCGGUUUGAUUUGGUUUUAGUUCUGGUUUUUAGGAGAAUUCCAGCGUCCGGUGAUCUUCCCGGCCCUCCUUAGCGAAUCCCUCCCCGUCUCCAUCGUCGUCCCCUGGGGACACCCGGCCUCUGGUUCAGCGGCCCCGCAUGGAACCCCCAGCGCCGGCGGGCGCCUCUUUGACUGGGGAGGCGCCUUCUUCCGCCCUCGGACUGGCCUUGUCCCAGAUUUUGCUCCAUCUUACCGGCCCGGAGUCCCGACGCGGCAAGGCCAGAAACGCAGCUCUUGAAGACCUCAGCGCUCUCCUGGAAGCCACCGAGUGUGAUCAGUUAUUUGAGGGGAAUGGCUCGUCGCUCGGUGGGAUGCCCGAGAUGCUGGGCGAGGUGGCAAAAGCCCUCGAAGAGUAUGCAGCCCCACCCAAGGAGCAGGAAGGUGGCGGUGAUGGUUCCCCUGCGGUGGCCGAGAAAGCGGCAGCAGUUGGGUUCCUGUUCAUCAGGCUGUUGAGGAAAGUUGAGUCAGCCAAGCACUCCUUGGUUUGCCAUGCCUGGAAGAGAGGCCUGCGCCGUUUGGCAGGGCCCAUCUAUGUUUUUGCCAUCACACACAGUUUGGAGCAACCGUGGACCAGGGCAAGAUCUCGGGACGUGGCUGGAGAGGUGCUCGCUUUACUGCUUCGCGUCAGCGAGUGUGGUUCUGUGGCAGGAUUCCUCCGCGGAGAAAAUGAAGACGAGAAAGGGAGAUUUGCUGUGAUAAUGGGGCUUCUUAAGCCCGAUUUGAAUAAGGAAUCAUGGAAGAAUAGCCCUGCCACCAAGCACGUUUUCUCAUGGACUCUGCAACAGGUCACUUGGCCCUGGCUGAACCAACAUCUAGAAAGGAUACUUCCCCCGUCAUUGCUCAUCUCGGAUGACUAUCAAACUGAGAACAAAGUUCUGGGUGUCCAGUGCCUCCAUCACAUUGUGCUUAAUGUGCCAGCUGCUGAUCUGCUCCAGUAUAACAGGGCCCAGGUCCUAUACCAUGCCCUUUUCAACCAUCUGUAUACACCGGAGCACCACCUCAUUCAGGCUGUGCUCCUGUGUCUGCUGGAUCUAUUUCCAGUCCUGGAGAAAGCCCUGCAGUGGAAGGGAGGUGCAGCUCGACCCACCACGCACUGUGAUGAGGUGCUGCAGCUGAUCCUGACCCACAUGGAGCCAGAGCACCGCAUUCUCUUACGCAGGACCUAUGCAGGAAGCCUCCCAGCUUUUGUGAAGAGGUUGGGGAUCCUAACUGUCCGGCACUUGAAGAGGCUGGAGCGAGUCAUCCUUGGUUACCUGGAGGUUUAUGAUGGACCAGAGGAGGAGGCUAGGUUGAAGAUACUGGAAACCCUAAAACUUCUCAUGCAGUAUACUUGGCCCAGAAUUUCCUGUAGACUUGUGGUCUUAUUGAAGGCUCUCUUGAAACUGAUAUGUGAUGUAGCAAGGGAUCCAAGCCUUACACCUGAGCCUGUUAAGAGUGCCUUGUUAGAGGCGGCCACAGACUGCCUGCUUCUCCUGGACCACUGCUCUAAAGGACAAGUGAAGGGUCUCCUGGCCAAAAUCCCCCAAAGCUGCGAAGACAGCAAGGUGGUGAGCUGUAUCAGAAAGGUGCAGCGGGUUUCUGACAGCGAGCCCUACAGUGGGACUUGAGAUCCAUAUUUCUUAAAGAGAAGAGGAUUUUCUUGUUGUAUAAGUGGAAUUAUUUGAGAAAGAAGCAUCUGAAGAGUCACUGUCUGCCUCCUGCUGUUCCAGGGCCUUGUCGAAGGCAUGGAUGGGGAAGUUGUAGAUAUCGCCAUACUGAAGGACACAAACAGACUGGUUUGCUAUACUGGGAUCUAACACUUAAGUCCACUGUCUGGCAAACAUAUUAUUUUUUCCUCAGUGAAAUGGGAAUACUUAAUUUGAUGAGUAAUAUUUCUAUAUUAUUUUCAAGCCUAGAACUGGCAGUGUCUUUUCUGACACUUAAAUAGUCAGUGGUUAAUACCAAACUGGUAACUUCUAUGAAUGAUGGAAGAAAACCACUUAAAACUUAGUAGUGUAUAAAACCCAAGGAUUAGAACAAAUGGAAAAUUUUGCUGACAAAGGGGAAAAAAAUAAAAAAAUUUAUUCAUGUUGUC
This is a non-coding RNA of Miniopterus natalensis, 2306 nucleotides long. The record is from RefSeq and is a predicted model, not a curated record. Lineage: Eukaryota; Metazoa; Chordata; Mammalia; Chiroptera; Miniopteridae.